UACCUAUGCCCGCUGCCAUGUGGCAGGU
RNAcentral lists this non-coding RNA (28 nucleotides) under Mus musculus (house mouse). Lineage: Eukaryota; Metazoa; Chordata; Mammalia; Rodentia; Muridae. The record is from RNAcentral.